GCCAAAAAAUUAACAUUUUGAUGCUUGCUCGAAGCAUACCUUGAUAGGUUUUCCUUAGAAUAGGAUCAACCUGUUAGACCCAAGCACAAUAUUACAAAGAGUGGAGAAUGGUCCCAGAAGAUGUGAGAGCUCCAUUGCGACACUAUCUUUUGGAACAUUUUGACAUCAACUUGAAUGAUGAGACAACUAAAAAAUGCAUUGAUGAACAAAUGAGAAAAGCUUGGAAGGGUCAUUGUGGGUAAUCAACCAACUUAUGAAGAGUUAGUUAAACGACUUAAUGAUACAACUUCCCGCCUUAAUGCUACUAACGAACAACUUAGUGUAAUUGUGGAUAUACUUCAUCAUAACAAUUUGAUGGCACUGCCUCCACCACUUCCAACAGACCAAGCUUCAGAUGCAAAUUUAAGAGAGUCGCCAUUUAUUUCAGUUCGGGAGUCACAAGAUGAUUCUUAGUUUAUUUACAUUAAUUUACUAAGGAAUGAACUUUAUGAAGUUUUUUUAUUUUGGUAGGGGUAACCUUAAAAUGAUAACUUUAUGACUUAUUUUAGUAUUGAACAUUAUAAAGAAUUUUAGCAUUAAACAUUUUAUUAUUGAA
Molecule: long non-coding RNA, 595 nt
Organism: Humulus lupulus (European hop)
Lineage: Eukaryota; Viridiplantae; Streptophyta; Magnoliopsida; Rosales; Cannabaceae
Exons: 2
Source: RefSeq, a predicted model, not a curated record